AGAGUUUGAUCCUGGCUCAGAUUGAACGCUGGCGGCAUGCUUUACACAUGCAAGUCGAGCGGCAGCGCGGGGGCAACCCUGGCGGCGAGCGGCGAACGGGUGAGGAAUACAUCGGAACGUGCCCGAGAGUGGGGGAUAACGCCGCGAAAGCGGCGCUAAUACCGCAUAUUCUCUGAGGAGGAAAGUGGGGGACCGCAAGGCCUCACGCUCACGGAGCGGCCGAUGUCGGAUUAGCUAGUUGGUGGGGUAAAGGCCCACCAAGGCGACGAUCCGUAGCUGGUCUGAGAGGAUGAUCAGCCACACUGGGACUGAGACACGGCCCAGACUCCUACGGGAGGCAGCAGUGGGGAAUUUUGGACAAUGGGGGCAA
This 370-nucleotide ribosomal RNA is filed under the name uncultured bacterium. RNAcentral's name for it is "bacterial SSU rRNA". It matches the Rfam family "Bacterial small subunit ribosomal RNA", at positions 8 to 380 of the family's 1533-position model. The record is from RNAcentral.